This is a long non-coding RNA of Cryptomeria japonica (Japanese cedar), 1339 nucleotides long. RefSeq lists it as uncharacterized. The record is from RefSeq and is a predicted model, not a curated record. NCBI's taxonomy places the organism in Eukaryota, Viridiplantae, Streptophyta, Pinopsida, Cupressales, Cupressaceae. The transcript is spliced from 2 exons.
CAUCUAAAUUCUUACUAGAGAUGGAUACUUCCUCUCUGGAGAUAGGAGUGGGAGGCUUCAAGGGCCCACCACCAUCACUGGUAGUGACCUUCUUGGGAGGGGGGACUAAUUAAUUCAACAACUUCUGAGAUCUUUCUUUUGGAGUUUCUUGCCGUUUCUAGGAUGCUCUGCAUCCUGUCUCCAGUUUUAUUAAGCUUUUUGAACUUUUCCAAUAUAAUCUGCUAAGCAUUCAACUUCCUGAGAGUGGAAGGAGGGGGCAUUAUGAAGCAAACUCUCUUCAGUUUAGGGCAGAGUUCAUAGGGGGUGAAGAGAUAGCAUAGUAUUUGCUCACUUUCCUAAUUUCAUAAUAGAGAGCCUCAAGUUUGUCCAUCAAUGAGGGAGUAGGGGAGGAAUCAUUCGAAUCCUUGGAAGGGUCUGGGCAGGAUUCACCAGUAGGAGAGGUCGGGAUCAAAGUGGGAUCACAAUCAGCGGGGAUCAGUGGGUUAGGGUUAGAUUGAUCAUUUAGAUUAACAAUUUUUGGGGGUUUCUUUUUAGAAAUAGGGCAAUUUCUUUUCAAAGUGGCCUUUUCUCUUCCAGAUAAAACAUGAGUUCAAUCCUCUCAUGUACUCGAUAGGGCAUGUUAAAAUUUCAUCUUGAAGCUCAAUUUUAGUGUCAUCUAGCAAUUCUUUGCCAGGCUCAAAGGCAAUCAACAUUCUUGCGUUCAUAUGAAGGAGGAGCGAUGUCGUGGCAUCCAUUUGCAACACAUUACCAAGAGGUUCAACACAUUUCCUUCGAUUUUACUGUAUUGUAAUUUAACUUGUAUUGUAAUUGUGAGAUAUAUGGAUGUUUCCUUCGAUUUUCUUCCUUAGAGAAUGAUAGUUUCUAUAUUUGCCCGACAGAGGUGUUGCCAUUACUUUCCUUCCAAAAAAGGUUUGUGAAUGCCUUUUUAUGGGUGAAGUGUUUUGUCUUUGGCAGAAAGAGACAAUUAAUAGAGACAGACGAAUUGAACAUUAGGGGCCAGUGGUGCAGAUAUCGCUGCCAUGCAACAAGAGAAAAAAGAUGGAGUCGUCUACUUGUAGGGUUUACAGGGAGGAGGUCUGGCCCAACAGCGCCAUCGUUUUACUUCUACUGAAAUUCAAAGAUGUAUGUUACGAUUAGCAUUGAGCGUGUUGCUGGGAGGGAAUGGUUUAAAUCUCACACAUUGCUUAUACUUUUAGGUUUAAAAGUGUUGAAUGCUCAGAGUUAAGUGACAUUUUUUAGGCUUAAUAUGUUGUGUAAGGUGUGUGGUCACACUAAGAAUACACUUCUAGACUUAAAGAUGUUAAACACUCAUAAUUAGACUAACAUUAUUUAGACUUAA